AUGACCUCCGGCCGGUCUGGAUCUCCGGCGUGCACGCGCCUGCUGAUGUUGUGGCUGGUUCGGAGGUGGCGGCAGGGUGCUUGGCCGGGGGAAACCCUUGGCCGCCGGUGGCGGUCACGGCGUCGAUGGCGUCCCGGACGCCAUUCCCUCCUUGAUGGCGGCGCCGAGGCUAAACCUCCCCUGCCUCCCCCCUCCCCCUGCGCCCGGGUGAAAACCCUAGCCCCGGUGGCUAAGCGGCGGCGGCGCCACAGCGUCGUUACCUUCUUGAAGGCGCCGACUUGGGCAUGGGGAUGUUGGGUGUGCAUGGCGAGUUUGUCUGGUUCCUGGUGGCGGCCCAUGUCUGGCCGUGUCUCCGAUGGCGACCUCGCCCUUUCUCACCUUGUACUUGCCAUGGUGGAGCGGUACUUCAUCUCACUCAUUGAUGGCGGCGGAGAUCGGCGGCAUGGCGCCGUGGAGGCUCGGCGUCCGAUGUGCGGAGAUGGACUCGCGCAGGAGGAGGUAGUUGUCUGGCGUCAUGGUGACGUCGAUGGCAGUAGUGGCCUUCACAAGGUAGAAGAUUCAAUAUAA
This 567-nucleotide ribosomal RNA is filed under the name Triticum aestivum (bread wheat). RNAcentral describes it as "partial small subunit ribosomal RNA". The record is from RNAcentral. Lineage: Eukaryota; Viridiplantae; Streptophyta; Magnoliopsida; Poales; Poaceae.